This 819-nucleotide long non-coding RNA is filed under the name Manihot esculenta (cassava). RNAcentral's name for it is "long non-coding RNA (MESC_LNC002761)". The record is from RNAcentral. Lineage: Eukaryota; Viridiplantae; Streptophyta; Magnoliopsida; Malpighiales; Euphorbiaceae.
GAUAAGCAACACAAAUGAGAAAUAGUUAUUCCUCUUUAUAUCAUAAAAGUGAAUUUUUUUAAAUAAAUAAAUUAACACUCGAUCCGGAUUUCACACAUCUUUUAUUUAUUAAAAAUGAAAAAAAGACAACAUAGAAUAAAGUCUUAUUGGCACUUAACCAAAUUAUUUAGUUGAUACUUCCCUCUCCCUCCACAUAUAUACAUAUAAAAUAUACUCAAAGGUAAAACACAUGCAAAUCACAUCACAAAUUAGCAUGAUGUUUAAUGUGAUCCUCAUGCAGAUUUCGCCGGUGGAGGAAUGGGGGGAGUGUGGCGAAUAUUGGCUCCUGGAUCUGAAUAAUCAUUCAACUCCGAAUCCUGCCUCCUAUUUCCAAGUCCUCUGAUUCCCUGUAACUUCCAUGAAUCCAAAACUUUUUAAAAAUUAUUCAAUAACUUCAUCUUCACAUACAUAUUUCCAUUAUCAAUGAUUAUUACCUGGUCGGUGUUCGUAGAAGAUAACACAUCUUCGACGCCAUGAAGCAGAACUCUGGCGCCUGUAAUUUCAAGAAACGAAGAAGAAGAAGAACAGUAGCAGUAAUCAUGCUUAUUCAAGAACACAAUAAAAGAUUAACAAUUGACAAAAGUUAGUGGAUUUACUUGUUGGUGCCGCAUUCUGGAUGAGAAUAAAUUGAGAAAGUAGCAGCAGGAUUACAAAUUGACGGACCAGAUUAAUGCUCGCCAUUUUUCUAAUCAAGUCUUGAGAUGGCGUUUAGGUUCUAAAAUCUGGAGGAAUGAUGUUUACUAUACAACAUAUGCCUGCAUAUAUAUCAUAUCCGAUUAC